GAUGAACCCUACCUACAGGCUUACCUUUUGCAAGUCGAGGGGUAGCAGGGUACCAAUACCGCUAACAACCGGCGCCCGGGUGAUUAACACUUAUCCAACCUUCCCAUAACUCUGGAAUAGCCUUUCAAAAAAAAAAUUAAUACCGAAUGGUACUUUUUCAAGGCAUCUUGAAAAAUUUAAAAAUUUAUUGUUUAUGGAUGGGAAUGCUUUCCAUUAAAUAUUUGGUGAGGUAACGGCUCACCAAUUCUUCAAUGGAUAGGGGUUCUGAAAGGAAGGUCCCCCACUUUGUUACUGAAACACGAACCAAACUCCUACGGAAGGCAGCAGUGAGAAUUUUUGUUCAUUGGGCAAAAGCCUGAACCACCCAAGUACCGUGAAGGAUGAAGGUCCUAUGGAUUGUAAACUUCUUUUAUAUUAAAUUAAAGUGUUCCACUUGUGAAUUUUUG
Molecule: ribosomal RNA, 446 nt
Filed under: uncultured bacterium
Lineage: Bacteria
Description: partial 16S ribosomal RNA
Rfam family: Bacterial small subunit ribosomal RNA
Source: RNAcentral